GAUAGUGCAAUUUUGAGGCUGUAUGCUUGUAAGGUAAUUUUGGUGAGAUAAGAAAUCAAAGAACACUGGCAUGUAUUACUGUUUUACUAUCAGGUUCUCUAUUUGUUUCUGUUUUUUGCUUUAUGGCUUAUAUUUUUGCAUUUCUGAAAAAAAAAAUUGAAUUGAAGAAUUUUUUUUUAGAUUAUUUGAAGAAAAUAAAAGCUGAAUCUAGAUUUA
Molecule: unclassified non-coding RNA, 216 nt
Filed under: Hevea brasiliensis (rubber tree)
Lineage: Eukaryota; Viridiplantae; Streptophyta; Magnoliopsida; Malpighiales; Euphorbiaceae
Source: RNAcentral